CGCCCGGGAGGAGUUCAGGGUUCAAGUGCGCGCCUGGGUCUGUGCACAUCUUCCCCUUCCUCGGCCUCCCUGGAGGGAAGACCGUAGAAGCUUUAUCAUAGGGCCUAGUGUCAUGAUCAUAUAUUUACUCCAUAAAUACCUGUGAGAUGUCUUCAAGCUUAUCUUCAUUUACAUUACAUGGUAAGCAUAGUUCUUUUACUGUUUGCCUUUGAAGUCUUUAUUGGGGUUGGGGGUCUGUGUUUUUAUUGUUUUUGCUGAUUCUUACUCAAGUCUAGUUUCUUUAUGUUGC
RNAcentral lists this long non-coding RNA (289 nucleotides) under Homo sapiens (human). RNAcentral describes it as "HSALNT0321822". Lineage: Eukaryota; Metazoa; Chordata; Mammalia; Primates; Hominidae. The record is from RNAcentral.